Long non-coding RNA from Harmonia axyridis, 1776 nucleotides. RefSeq lists it as uncharacterized. Lineage: Eukaryota; Metazoa; Arthropoda; Insecta; Coleoptera; Coccinellidae. The transcript is spliced from 3 exons. The record is from RefSeq and is a predicted model, not a curated record.
CCUUAUGCUGGAGAACGUCUAGAAGGCAUAUUGAUAUAGGGCUGAUACAAGAGCCCUGGAUAAAUGGAGGCCAAGUGGAGAGGCCUACCAAACAAAGUAUAUCAGACGAUAUACUGCGAUAAGUCAGGUUCCUGACGAGGGAUCUUGCUGCGGCAUUGGUUUCCAGGAGACGCCAUCAGCCCACCACCGGAGGAAGUACAACGCCUCAUCGAAUUGUGCCGCAGGGAGAAGAAACAAUUGAUUCUGGGCUGCGAUACGAACGCACACCACAAAGUAUGGGGCAGCACAACAUAAAUCAUUGAGAUUUGGUCCAGUUCUGAAGGCACUGCAGGAGGCAUGUGACGACCGAACGCCCUGACAGGAAACCAUGCUAGCACUCAGGAAUUAUUUUGUUUUCAGUCAAAAAAUCGAGCAAUUUAUUACAAACAACUCUCUCAGCAAUCUUGGAUAUGAUAGGAAAGAGACUAAUGAGGCGGUAAUUACUCGGGCAUAGUUUGUCCCCCUUUUUGAAAACAGGAGUUAUCCUAGAUAUUUUUCAAGCAGAUGGUAAUUGACAUUGUUUUAGUUUCACUUUAUACAUUUAUUGAAACACUUCUUGUUUUAACUAUUUAUUUUAUUAUUAUACAAGUCUGUAGUUGUUGUAGUCUGCACACGUGCUAGUUCCGAGAGGGACCUAACCUCUCUCAUCUCGAGGUUGUUCGAUAUUCUGUGGUCAUAGAAUAUUGCCACAGAAUAUCUUUAUCUUUUUACAAAAUACAACAUUUACAAUAUACAACAGACAUGAGCUGAAGGAUAAUCUUAUUAAAACAGUUAUCGUCAGUGGAAGGAAUGUGGAGCAUUUUUUCAGCAAUCCAGAAGAGAAAUUAUCCCUACCAAAGGCGGCAGAUGGAUCCAACUCAGAUAAAAGUUUCAGUAUUUCUUCCUCAUUGAUAUCAAUAGAUUCGAGAGAGGAGAAGUAAUGCAGGGCAGUGGGCCCCCUGUCUCUGUAGGAAAGGAAAUGGUGAAAACAUUGGCGGAGCAUUCUGGGUCACUAGAACAUAGACCACCUGAUUCAUCUCUGACACGAGGAAUUGAAACCUCAGAGCUGAGAGUGUUUCGGAUAUAUUUAUAAAAUUUUUUCCGAUUAUUGGGUUGAGCAAGAAAUUCAUGAAACAACUUUCUUGCGUUCUUAAUUUUUUUGCCAAGUGCAUUUGAGAAGUUGCGAUGAACACGAUAGUCCAUCUCAGAUCCAUUACGAAGAUAUUGCUGCCAUAGCUUCCUUUUCCGUCGCUGCAUGGUGAUGUUCCCAUCAGUUAUGAAUCUCAUACUCAUGUAAUGUAUUAGUGCAAUGUGUAGAUGGCCUCGCUGCCAAGCACACAAAAAGAAGAAGAAAAAGAAUGUGUUAGUGAUCUGUGGUCGCCCCCAUAAUCAUCCAUAAUGCAGUGAUGUCAACUCUGAGGAUGUGUCCCCAGGUUUAGGGGGAAAUUAUGGUUUUAGGGAUUAAGAGGGAAAUAGGGAAUUUCUAGGAAUUAUUAAUUCGAAAUAAUAAUUGAUGAUAUUCUUGAAAUAAUGAAUAUUCAGUCAGAUUGAAGGCAUUAAUGGAGACAAUAUUAACAGACAGUGGAGCAUAUUGCUCUUGAUUUUUUGAGUGAUGAAGAUAAAAAACUCGUUUAUGAUGAGUGUAGAUGAAAUACUUCACUGGAGUUCCGGAAUAUAAAGAUAUUUGUAAUUUUACAUAUUAUCCAAUGGUAAUGCUGUUGUUACAGUUGUUACAGACAUUAAAUGUAAGAAGAGAAA